CGUCUUCCGCGCCGGACCGUGUACAAGUCUCCUGGAAGGGAGCAUCGUAGAGGGUGACAAUCCCGUCUCUGACACGGAUCCCCGGUGCUAUGUGAUGCGCUCUCGACGAGUCGAGUUGUUUGGGAAUGCAGCUCAAAUCGGGUGGUAAACUCCAUCUAAAGCUAAAUACAGGCGAGAGACCGAUAGCGAACAAGUACCGUGAGGGAAAGAUGAAAAGAACUUUGGAAAGAGAGUUAAACAGUACGUGAAAUUGCUGGAAGGGAAACGCUUGACGUCAGUCGCGUCGUCCGGGGAUCAACCUCGCUUUUCGCUGGGCGUAUUUCCCGGUCGACGGGUCAGCAUCGAUUUCGACCGUCGUAGAAGGACGCGAGUGAAUGUGGCACUCCACGGGGUGUGUUAUAGCCUCGCGUAUGGAUGCGAUGGUCGGGAUCGAGGAACUCGGCACGACCCCUCGAGGGUUCGGGGCUUCGGUCCACGCGCGUGCCCAGGAUGCUGGCGUAAUGGCUUUAAGCGACCCGUCUUGAAACACGGACCAAGGAGUCUAACGUGCCUGCGAGUGUUCGGGUGCAAAACCCGAGCGCGCAACGAAAGUGAAAGUCGAGACCUCCGUCGUGGAGGGCACCGACGCCCGGACCGGAGCCUUUGGCGAUGGAUCUGCGGUAGAGCAUGUAUGUUGGGACCCGAAAGAUGGUGAAC
This 696-nucleotide ribosomal RNA is filed under the name Scleroderma sp. Its description in RNAcentral is "LSU rRNA". It matches the Rfam family "Eukaryotic large subunit ribosomal RNA", at positions 159 to 831 of the family's 3401-position model. The record is from RNAcentral. Lineage: Eukaryota; Fungi; Basidiomycota; Agaricomycetes; Boletales; Sclerodermataceae.